UAUUUUAAUUUAGAUGACUUGUUUCAAUUCCAUAGACACAGUGGUAACAGGGAGAGGAAAAAAAAAAAAACGAACAGGAAAACGCUUCCACUUAGCAGAAUUUGGGAACUAGCCUUUUGGAAAAGAAACCCUCUGUACUUAGAAAACACAGCAGUUGAAACGAUUUGCUGGAAUUUGGUCAUCCCCCAUUCCAUGUAUGAGUUUCUUUUGUAGGAUGAGAAACUGGAAAAUGACACGGCUCUUUCUACCAAUAAGCGGGUCAUUAACCCCUCAGCUUGGUUUGAAAUUCCUCAGCUUUUGUUAUUGACAUUGGUUCUUAGUCAACACUCCUCACACUCUAUAUUUCAAAUAGUCAGUUCUUUUCAUUCUAUUUUUAGUUCUAACCCUUUUUCCCUGCCCCUACCUUCCACCAAAAUUUGAAGAUUGGAUUUCAUUUCAAGUGUGCAAUUCCCAGCUGAAGGCCCACUGAGAUCUUCUUGCUCCCUGGUUUUCUGGUGGGAAAAUGCAUUUUCCCUCUCUCUGAGCGGGGACACCACCAACACCUUCCUGACUGUUCACACAGGAUAUCAGAGGAAACGCCGCCUGGGAAGGAGAGGGCCUGUGCUUUCUGAGCAGCGAUGGUGGCCCGCUGGCCUCCCCUGAAGCUUCUCAUGGCGAGUCCCGUGAUGUGAGCUGGCAGCAGGAACCUGUCAUCAGCUCCACACAGCAGGACCUUCGAGCAACUUCCUCCUUGCACAUGCAGCUGUUCCCGAGUUAGAGUCAUUUAUGCCUCUGCCAUCACGGUUCCCAUUGGCUGCUAGCAGCAGGAAUUCCCUAAGUAUCUCUUACUCCAAAUGCUCUCAUGAGAAUGUCCAGCAGCUAUCGUCAUGUGGAACUUGAUAGGGUUCUCUGUGCUUCUCCCAGCACUCUGCCUCUAAGUCAUUUGUGACAUCCAUGGACACCUAGGGAGCUCAGGGCCACUCCAGAGGGCAACCUCAGCCCAGUCCCACACUGAGCCCGGCGGUGGUGGUGGUGGUGGAGGUACCUUGUUACCAAGCACUUUUGAUGAGUAUCAUUUGUUCAUUCAUUCAUUCAACAACUGUUCACUGAAUAUCAAUUAUGUGCCAGACACUCUGUUACGUAGUAGUGAUUCCCAAAGGAAUUUAAAAGUUGGCUGAGACUCUGAGGAGAAGACUAGUAUGAAAGAUCCAACUUAAAAUAAAAGCAAAACAAACAAUAAAAUUGGUUAGGUAACAGAAAUGUGUUUAGACAAACCAGAGGGAGCAAAGAUUAAUUCCUGCUCUAUGGGCCUCCCAUCUUCCUGGAGGAGGUGGCUGUCCGGUCCUUCUUUUGGAACAAAGCUGGAGAGAGAACAAGAAUAGCAUGGCCCAAGGCACAGAUAUAUUGAUCAGCCUGCCAGGUUUUCAGUAUUGUUAGAAUAUGAGUUUCCAGGGACAGUGAUGGUGUAGGAGCUAAUGCUAGACAGGAAGACAAAGGUCAUGUUGUGAUGGGCGCUCCACAGCCUUUGCUGAGAAAUUUGUAUAUAUUCUAUGAUACUCUUCCUGCAAGAAAGAAAGAGAAAUAUUGACUCUACCUUGAAAAGGAAAGCCUGAGAACAGAGAGUUGCCUCUACAACCCCGGCACCCCCGCACAUCAUCUGAAGGGCCAUGUUUUCACACUGCUUGCUGUUCUAGCACAAAUACCCCCACCCAAGAGAAUAACAUGGAAGGCAAAACCCUGACAAAACACGAGGAAGGAUUGACAGGGCUGAAUAUCAACAUUGUUUCAUCUCUAAUGAAGUAAGGGAUCCAGGCAUUGCUGGAUCUAUCGAUGUCUGCUAAUUUCAAACACAAGACAGGCAAAAGGACAUUAUGUGCCUAGUAUCACCGAUGGAUUUUCUUGCUAAAAGUUUGGACUUGGAUCUGAUCAAGCAUCUAGAUUUGUAGGAAAUAUAGAGUGUACAAUCAAUAAAAUCUGGAAUAUGUAAAAUUCUGC
Long non-coding RNA from Hipposideros armiger (great roundleaf bat), 1974 nucleotides. RefSeq lists it as uncharacterized. The transcript has 3 exons. The record is from RefSeq and is a predicted model, not a curated record. Lineage: Eukaryota; Metazoa; Chordata; Mammalia; Chiroptera; Hipposideridae.